GCGUGGAGCAUGUGGCUUAAUUUGACUCAACGCGGGAAAUCUUACCGGGUCCGGACACACUGAGGAUUGACAGGCAAUAUAUGUGACUCUUCGGAGUUUGCAUUGUUAAAUAUGCUAGUCCUUUCAUGAUUAUGUGAUAGGUGGUGCAUGGCCGUUCUUAGUUCGNGGAGUGAUCUGUCUGCUUAAUUGCGUUUCAAAUUACUUAUAAGGUAGCAAUACGCGAUGAAGCUUUCAAUAGUCCUCACGGAUUCACUUGAGUCUCUCGCUUCGCUAUCCUUUCGAAUGCAACGAACGUGACCGCAACCUCUUGUUGCCUUCGUUUAACAUCCUGCAGCUCGCUGUGGGUACUGAGGGCUUCACUCGGUGACUUUGGGCUGAGCAAUCGGUCUCUUUUGAUCUGAGUAAACUAGAGGGACCGCUGUCAACUUCUUAAACCAGAGGAAGGUUGCGGCAAUAACAGGUCUGUGA
Molecule: ribosomal RNA, 468 nt
Filed under: Globigerinita uvula
Lineage: Eukaryota; Foraminifera; Rotaliida; Globigerinitidae
Description: SSU rRNA
Rfam family: Eukaryotic small subunit ribosomal RNA
Source: RNAcentral